GAAGAAGUAUCACCAGACUGUAUAUGUCCUCUCUCUGUCCUGUAAUAAGUGGACUCUGAGCUCAUGUGUUGGUGUCUCUUCACCUCUUGGUGAGGUUUUC
Molecule: long non-coding RNA, 100 nt
Organism: Etheostoma cragini (Arkansas darter)
Lineage: Eukaryota; Metazoa; Chordata; Actinopteri; Perciformes; Percidae
Exons: 3
Source: RefSeq, a predicted model, not a curated record